UGAAGGAGAGUGAUUUCAGCAGGCUUUUGUCUUAUGCAAGCAAUACUAGCAAACCCAGCAGGAUGAUGAGUGCUAGAUAGUUGCAAAAUUGAUAUUAGGAGAAAUUUAAGUAAUUAAACUUUAACACCUUAAUAUUGACUUUUGUCUGGCCUUUUACAUGUAAUACAUUUAUUAUGCACAAGCAGAUGCUGACAUUCAUGUUAGGAAGGUAAAAAUCUUUGGAAAACUAAACUUGAGCACUCCCUGAUCACUAUUUAAUAGUAGCAUCCUUUUUUGUUUGAUCAUUAUCUACAAAUGACUUUAAAGAAUAUUAUUUGUCUUAAUUUGCUUUAAAAACUCUGAAGUUUUUAUCCCUAUGCUGGUUUUGAUAUUAUGCCACUUCAGCCCUAUCUUCAGCCUGACUUCCCUCUCUUCCAUAAGAACUAAGUACUGAGUCAAGGGAAAUUGAUCAUUUGCCUCUGUUUUAGGAUAGAUUUAUAGGCAGGUCAUAGGUCUAGGAAACUACCAUAGCAUCACAGUCUGGCAUCAGUGUGUCUGAAUUACAGACACAAGGUCCCCUGAGAAAAUAGCCAGGUUCUGGAACCCUUAAAUGUCAUUCCAGUUGUAACAUUUAUAUAGUUGCAAAAUGUCACAUUUAUUUUAAAUUUCUUUUAUCUAAUACCUACUGAAACAGAAUAGUAUUUUUUUAAAGAUGAAAUUGAGAUUUUUUAAGUUGAAGGUAGUAAGCCAGAUACUGAACUGAGAACUAAAGUUUUAAGAAUACAAGAAAAAUAAAUCCCAGCAUAGGUAACAGAAUGAUUUGAAAAGUGCAAAAAUAAAUGUAAAAAACCAUUGUGCAGAGGCAAUGGAAGUAAAAGUAACCAUUAGAAUCACAAAAAUGAAAAGGACUUUAAGUCAUCAUUACCAAACCUACUCAGAAGGAAGCCUUUUUAAAGUAACAUAGCACAAAGAAUGUUAUAAAUUGAGAAUGUUAUAAAAUGUCCAUGCAGAGUGCCAUGGACAAAAACAGUAUAAGCAAAAUAGCAGAUUCUGAUACAAUGCUACUUUUUCUAGAAGCUUCCAAGGAGUACAUGCUGAAAGAUUGCUCUAUGUAAAAAUAAAAAUAUUCUGAGGUAUUUUGAAUCUUUGUCCUAAGCAUAAUAAAAGAGUCCACUGCUGAACUGUGGGAGGGUAUAGGAUGUUUUCACCCAUUUUUGGAAAAGACCUAAGGUGGUCUAAAAAGUAAGCUGAAAGCUUUUUUCCUUUCUAAGUCCAAACCAGAUUCUUAUAUCUUAUAACUCUAAAAAUGAGGAAAUGUCUGACAUAGUAAGAAGAUUUAUGUGAUGUAACUAAAAAGACCAAGAAAUAAUAAAAGUCCAAGAAAACUUGCAACUGAGUAAGCCUAGUUCAUGCAACAAAGAAAAAUUCCACAGUAUGUAUUAUCUUUUCUUUUUGGGGUAAUGAGGACAUGAAAAUUGGUCUUAAGUUGAGAUAAAUUAUAGCAAAUAUGAAUCGAUGAAUAAAAUAUAAUAUAGUUAGAAUGUGAGGAGUGUGGAGAUGAGGUGUAAAAUAGAGAUGAAAACAAAAAGACCAUAACUGAGAGGAUUGCAUGUUAAAGAUUCCAGUCUUCAAAACACUAAGGAAAAUAAGAAACAAGUAACGAAGCAGGUGAGUGAAAUGAUUAUAAAUAGAAUAAGGUGAUAGUGGUAGACACUGGGAAUAGUGAAGAAAUUCAAGAGAUAUUUAGGUCAUAGAUUAAGGUGAUAUUGUGGUUGAUUUGAUAUUGGUGAAAGAAAGAAGAGAGUUUUCUGAUUUUUAAGUUUCAUGAUUUUUUUUAGAAAUUUAAUAUUUUCUGGCUUUAAUUUUUUUUAAUUUUUCUGCUCAGGUUUUCUAAUUUGGGUAACUUGAUGAGUGGUGCUGCCAAUACUGGAAUUAAGAAAUAUAAAUUUAAUGCUUGGAUUGAUGGUAUAAUAAAUUAAUUUUUAUUCAUUUUGAAUUUUUGUGUUCUUCUGAAGCAUGAAUGAGAAGAAAUUUCUUAGGCUUUGUAAUCAGAAAAGGCAUCUGGAUUAAAAUGUGAAUUUGAAGAUUGUCAGCACAUAGAUAUAACUCAGUGAAGAGACUGACCAUGCUUGUUCACGUUUCAUAAAAAGAACAUAAAAAAUAGAUUUCUCUUCAUGGCAAACAGAAGAUCUCACUUCUCAAUCUACUGCCAUCAUGGGACCAUGGUAAAGACACUAUCUAUGGUGUACUAAUUGUUGGAUAAGUUCAACAGGAACAAUGAAUACUUCUCACUUACCGUUUAAAAUUACAUCGUUAGCCAGACUAUGUUACUGCUGAUGCAAGCCAUUUUAAAACUAUUUAACAUAUAACAAUGUGUAACAUUAAAUGAAAUGUGUAUAUGACACCACAAUUAUAAUUACAAGUGUGCUGUUUUCUUUUGCUACUGUAAUUACACAAUAAGACAUCUGAUACCCAGUUUUAUCUGCAUAGUUAUAGGAAAGCAGUGUUGACAUCUAUCAGCUUGAGGAAACCACACAAUGAAUUAUCAUAAUAUAAAUUAUUUGUGUUAGGCUCCAUUAUGUGUACUUGAAGCUGGUGUAUAGAUUGAUAUUAGGUUUAUUUUUAUUCAUAACCUCUGACACGACUAUCAUAACAAUUUUGAAAAGAUACAUCAAAUGUCAAUAAUCUCGUUUUGUAGAUUUGAAUGUUUUAUUGUAUACAUUAAUAUAUAUGCAUUUCCAAUAUGUACAUAUAAUGUAGUAUAUCGAUAAAUGUAUGCAUGUAAUACUAAAUAUGAACACAUAUAUAUAUAUAUGCAAAUACAAAUAGAAAGAGCAAUGUUUGUUUAUUAAAUCCAUUGUAUCCAA
Molecule: long non-coding RNA, 2846 nt
Organism: Pan troglodytes (chimpanzee)
Lineage: Eukaryota; Metazoa; Chordata; Mammalia; Primates; Hominidae
Exons: 2
Source: RefSeq, a predicted model, not a curated record